AGUGAACGCUGGCGGCAGGCCUAAUACAUGCAAGUCGAACGGCAGCACAGUGGAGCUUGCUCCAUGGGUGGCGAGUGGCGGACGGGUGAGGAAUACAUGGGAAUCUGCCCAGUCGUGGGGGAUAACGUAUGGAAACGUACGCUAAUACCGCAUGCGCCCUUCGGGGAAAGUCGGGGACCGCAAGGCCUGACGCGAUUGGAUGAGCCCAUGUUCGAUUAGCUAGUUGGCGGGGUAACGGCCCACCAAGGCGACGAUCGAUAGCUGGUCUGAGAGGAUGAUCAGCCACACUGGAACUGAGACACGGUCCAGACUCCUACGGGAGGCAGCAGUAGGGAAUAUUGGACAAUGGGCGCAAGCCUGAUCCAGCCAUGCCGCGUGAGUGAAGAAGGCCCUCGGGUUGUAAAGCUCUUUGUUGGGGAAGAAAAGCAGUUGGUUAAUACCCGAUUGUUCUGACGGUACCCAAGAAUAAGCACCGGCUAACUUCGUGCCAGCAGCCG
This 497-nucleotide ribosomal RNA is filed under the name uncultured bacterium. RNAcentral's name for it is "bacterial SSU rRNA". It matches the Rfam family "Bacterial small subunit ribosomal RNA", at positions 29 to 517 of the family's 1533-position model. The record is from RNAcentral.